GAUGAACGCUGGCGGCGUGCCUAAUACAUGCAAGUCGAGCGAACGGACGAGAAGCUUGCUUCUCUGAUGUUAGCGGCGGACGGGUGAGUAACACGUGGAUAACCUACCUAUAAGACUGGGAUAACUUCGGGAAACCGGAGCUAAUACCGGAUAAUAUUUUGAACCGCAUGGUUCAAAAGUGAAAGACGGUCUUGCUGUCACUUAUAGAUGGAUCCGCGCUGCAUUAGCUAGUUGGUAAGGUAACGGCUUACCAAGGCAACGAUGCAUAGCCGACCUGAGAGGGUUAUCGGCCACCAUUGAACUGAGACACGGUCCAGACUCCUACGGGAGGCAGCAGUAGGGAAUCUUCCGCAAUGGGCGAAAGCCUGACGGAGCAACGCCGCGUGAGUGAUGAAGGUCUUCGGAUCGUAAAACUCUGUUAUUAGGGAAGAACAUAUGUGUAAGUAACUGUGCACAUCUUGACGGUACCUAAUCAGAAAGCCACGGCUAACUACGUG
This 497-nucleotide ribosomal RNA is filed under the name uncultured bacterium. RNAcentral's name for it is "partial 16S ribosomal RNA". It matches the Rfam family "Bacterial small subunit ribosomal RNA", at positions 28 to 507 of the family's 1533-position model. The record is from RNAcentral.